This 1089-nucleotide long non-coding RNA is filed under the name Parus major (Great Tit). RNAcentral describes it as "lncRNA (ENSPMJG00000007185.1)". Lineage: Eukaryota; Metazoa; Chordata; Aves; Passeriformes; Paridae. The record is from RNAcentral.
CGGGGGGAGCGCCUUGUGCCCCCCGCCUGCCGCCGUCCCCUCCCCAGAGGGGGACACCCGCCCCUAGAACUCGGCCAUUCCACCAAACCCACCGGCUUCCAGCCCCCGGCUGCCCAGCUGAGCGCAGAGCUGCCCAGAACCAGCCCCAAAACCUUGAGGAGCCUCCAGGAAGGAAAACACCAGGAGGGUCUCAAGUCUUGAGGAUCCAAGCAGACAGAAGGGAAGAAUCAGCUCCUCCUGCCAGGUGGACCAAGGACACCUUCAGGUCUCCCCCUGCAGGCUCCCUUCCCCUCCACCCCGGCACUCAGAUCCUCCGGGGAGCGGCGCAGCUCACGGUGGAGUCACCGCCCGCAUUUCCCACCCAGCGGCUGUGACAGCACAGGAUCUCUGCUGUGACACUGUGACACCGCCAUCCAUCACCAGGCAGGCGUCUGGGCAGCGCCAGGAGAAGGACAAACAGCAUCUGUCCAGCUCAGCAGGGAACCAGCGCAGCUUUCCCAGCCCGUCCCCGUGUCUGGGAGCCCGGCACCAACCGGGACUCAGCGUUUCCAGCCCUUCAUCCUCCCGGAUGAGACAGGCUGUGGGGAGAAGACCCCAACACGAUGAGGGAGGGGUUUAGUGAGGGCCCCUCAGCCCCUGUGGCCGUUAAGACAUUCCAGGUAGCUCAGUGAGUUUUCCAGAAGCAAUGCUGGAGGGUGGGAAGGCUGUCAGGGGGCUCUGAGGGGUUCCUGGGGCUCCAUCAGGCUCCUGUGCUGAUGCCCAGGGAAUGCCAGGAGUGUUUGGACACCGCUGCCAGGGUUGGGGUGUCUGGGCAGGGCCAGGAUUUGGGAUUGGUGAUCCAUGUGGGUCCUCUCCAGCUCGGGAUAUUCUGGUAUCCACGGCUCUGGGAUUUGAGAUCUUCUGGGCUGGGAGGACAGGAGGCUCCUGCUGAGUGCAAGGGAUGACAAAGGAGCUCAGGCACAGAAGGUUUUGCAGAUUCCUGCAGUGUUCCUCCUGAGAAUCACCCCCCUCAUUCCCCCUGGCUCUGGAUCCCGGCUCCUGUGACCCUGAACACCCUGACUGGCUGUAAUUAAAGGCCGAGCAAUUGCC